RNAcentral lists this ribosomal RNA (473 nucleotides) under uncultured bacterium. RNAcentral's name for it is "bacterial SSU rRNA". It matches the Rfam family "Bacterial small subunit ribosomal RNA", at positions 355 to 825 of the family's 1533-position model. The record is from RNAcentral.
UGAGGAAUAUUGGACAAUGGGCGCAAGCCUGAUCCAGCCAUGCCGCGUGCAGGAUGACGGUCCUAUGGAUUGUAAAGCACUUUAAGUUGGGAGGAAGGGCAGUUACCUAAUACGUGAUUGUUUUGACGUUACCGACAGAAUAAGCACCGGCUAACUCUGUGCCAGCAGCCGCGGUAAUACAGAGGGUGCAAGCGUUAAUCGGAAUUACUGGGCGUAAAGCGCGCGUAGGUGGUUAGUUAAGUUGGAUGUGAAAUCCCCGGGCUCAACCUGGGAACUGCAUUCAAAACUGACUGACUAGAGUAUGGUAGAGGGUGGUGGAAUUUCCUGUGUAGCGGUGAAAUGCGUAGAUAUAGGAAGGAACACCAGUGGCGAAGGCGACCACCUGGACUGAUACUGACACUGAGGUGCGAAAGCGUGGGGAGCAAACAGGAUUAGAUACCCCCGUAGUCCCUGAGCGGGCUGGCAAGGCGCAU